RNAcentral lists this ribosomal RNA (90 nucleotides) under Bacillus anthracis (anthrax bacterium). Its description in RNAcentral is "partial 16S ribosomal RNA". It matches the Rfam family "Bacterial small subunit ribosomal RNA", at positions 1 to 86 of the family's 1533-position model. Lineage: Bacteria; Bacillati; Bacillota; Bacilli; Caryophanales; Bacillaceae. The record is from RNAcentral. RNAcentral also lists the same sequence under 1 other name.
UUUAUUGGAGAGUUUGAUCCUGGCUCAGGAUGAACGCUGGCGGCGUGCCUAAUACAUGCAAGUCGAGCGAAUGGAUUAAGAGCUUGCUCU